CGCCUGAAAUCCGAGUUUCGUUUCAAGCCAACCUGGACAACUGCUGUAUGAGGCGCUGUUUCUCAGGAGGAUCAGUGGGAAGGCGUCAGGUCAUGCAGAUGAUAGCAUCAAUUUCACAAUGCCCAGCCUUGGUGCCCUCCAUCAAGAGCAAGCCACUUGCGUUUGCCUUCAUGCAGAUGGUUGAUGUCUUCUAGGAAGUAUUUGGGAAGACAACAUUGAUGCAAGAUUCCAGCAAUGCCAUGCGCUGCAUUUAUUGGUCAAGAUGCUCAGAGAAUGGAGUCCCUGCACCUCGGGGUUAAACGUAAACAUUUUUUUUUCUUUUGGAAAGCUAAACGUCAUUUGCUGUAUCAAUUGCAUUCUUGCAGCUCAGAUGUGUACUAUAUUUUUUCUAAUUUUGAAUCAAUUAAUAUUCACUGUUCAGUAUACAAAUGACGUACAGUGUGAAGGACAAGGACUGCGAGAGAUGACAUACACUGCGCUGACUUCCAACAAUAUUUUAUUGCGUUGCCACAUCGUGUGUUUAUACACAAGGGUCAUGCGCAGAAAAUGAAA
This 552-nucleotide long non-coding RNA is filed under the name Dermacentor andersoni. Its description in RNAcentral is "uncharacterized LOC126518967". Lineage: Eukaryota; Metazoa; Arthropoda; Arachnida; Ixodida; Ixodidae. The record is from RNAcentral.